UCAUUAAUCUGUACGCUGUAAAAAAUGGUAGCAGCAACGCGUCGGAGGAAAUGUUCCAAAACGAAGUCGUGGAAACGAUACCUGACAUAAUGGAGCCGCUGGUCUCGGUUCUCCUAGUAGUAGAGGACGAUGAAAACGAA
This is a long non-coding RNA of Wasmannia auropunctata (little fire ant), 140 nucleotides long. RefSeq lists it as uncharacterized. The record is from RefSeq and is a predicted model, not a curated record. The transcript has 2 exons. NCBI's taxonomy places the organism in Eukaryota, Metazoa, Arthropoda, Insecta, Hymenoptera, Formicidae.